Molecule: RNA transcript, 858 nt
Organism: Dipodomys spectabilis (banner-tailed kangaroo rat)
Lineage: Eukaryota; Metazoa; Chordata; Mammalia; Rodentia; Heteromyidae
Gene name: hsc70-interacting protein-like
Exons: 2
Source: RefSeq, a predicted model, not a curated record
AUGUUAGAAUGUCAAAGAGCUGCACCUGGGCCUGGGACGAGGCCUUCGGGUCCACAGCCAGCAUUGCAGCCGCUGCCGCCGCCGCCCUCUGCCUCCCGAACAUAUCCCCGCAAAGUCAGGGAGCUUCGCGCUUUCGUGAAGAUGUGUAAGCAGGACCCAAGAGUCCUGCACACCGAGGAGAUGCGUUUCCUGCGGGAGUGGGUGGAGAGCAUGGGGGGUAAAGUACCACCAGCUACUCAUAAAGCUAAAUCAGAAGACAGUAUCAGGGAAGAAAAAGCAGAUAGUCAGAAGACAGAAGAAAACAUACCGACAGAGGAGCCACCCAGUGAGGAAAGCGACCUAUAAAUUGAUAAUGAAGGUGUAAUUGAACCAGACACUGAUGCCCCCCAAGAAAUGGGAGAUGAAAAUGUAGAAGUAACUGAGGAGAUGAUGGAUCAAGCAAAUGAAAAGAAAGGUGCUGCCAUUGAAGCACUAAAUGAUGGUCAGCUACAGAGAGCUAUCGACUUGUUCACAGAUGCCAUCAAGCUAAACCCAUUCUAUAUGCCAAGAGGGCCAGUGUCUUCAUCAAAUUACAGAAGCCAAAUGCUGCCAUUCGAGACUGUGACAGAGCCAUUGAAAUAAAUCCUGAUUCUGCUCAGCCAUAUAAGUGGCGAGGAAAAGCACACAGACUUCUGGGCCAUUGGGAAGAAGCAGCACAUGAUGUUGCCCUUGCCUGUAAACUGGAUUAUGAUGAUGAUGCUAGUGCAAUGCUGAAAGAAGUUAAACGGAGGGCCCAGAAAAUUGCUGAGCACCGGAGAAAGUAUGACCGAAAACGUGAAGAGCGAGAGAUUAAAGAAAGAAUAGAGAGGGUUAAGAAGG